Molecule: non-coding RNA, 363 nt
Organism: Marmota flaviventris (yellow-bellied marmot)
Lineage: Eukaryota; Metazoa; Chordata; Mammalia; Rodentia; Sciuridae
Source: RefSeq, a predicted model, not a curated record
CCAUGGCCACGACCACAGCGUUCCCCCAUCCCGAGAGAUCCUAAAUGCCGCUCCGUGGCAACCUCCGUGAAUUCGCAGGCUUCCACCUCGCUCAGAGUUCUCCUUCGAAGGAGGCACUGGAGACCCUCAUUCAACCCGUUAAUGCCCUGCGGACUUUGGGGGGCGUACAUUUACUGAGAAGUGCUGAGGAUUGAACCCAGGGCCUCAGGCAUGCUCAGGGUGCACUCUGCCACUAAGCUAUACCACCAGUCUUCUGGAUUUGAGCUAGCUGUGAUGCCUAUGUUUGAGUCGACCUUUGUCCCAGAAAGUUCAGGGGACUCAGGUUGAAGCUCUGGGACGAAGACACCCUGAUGACACAUCUGU